Molecule: long non-coding RNA, 2244 nt
Organism: Phacochoerus africanus (Common warthog)
Lineage: Eukaryota; Metazoa; Chordata; Mammalia; Artiodactyla; Suidae
Exons: 6
Source: RefSeq, a predicted model, not a curated record
UCACAUAAGUUUUCACUUGAAGAAUAAGCUCUGGAAAAAAAGAAGUUGUGUGUCAUUGUGCCAGAUGGUCUAAAGUUCAUCCUUAAUAAAACUAUUUGAUUCUCCAAGUGAAAGAUACGCCCUUGACAAUGGACAAUGGGACAAAGUAGUCUUAGAGGAGAAUGCCUAACUAAACCAGGAGGGCUCCUUGGAAGAGUACUUCCUUAGAAAGUUUUUAGCUGGGCACAUUGCUGAUUGAAGUAAAGAAAACAUUUCCUGCCUUCCCUUUGAGCUAGGGAUGGCCAAUACAAUGUCCAUGCAAGCUAUGGACUUUCAAGAAAAAUUUUAGAGGGGUGCAGAAAACUAAUAAGAAUCAUUUUGGACUUCCCAUCCCCACUUCUUCCUGCUUCCCUCCUGGAUGGAUUUUAGCUGAGUGAUCAAGAAGUGUCCUUGAAGAUGGAAUUCAGAGCUGGGCAGGCGGGAGCCUCUACGCGUCCUGACUACCUUGCUUGGCAGUGCUUCUUGCGUGAUCCUACUGCUGCCGUGUGGAAGUGUCUCCAUCAGGUUUGUUUCCUUCACCUUGUCCCCAUUCCAAAGAUCUGGGUUCCAGCUCCAAUCCUGUCACCAGAUGGCCAUCUGUUCUUGGUUUUUGGGAAGUGACCGCCAGUCAGGGAAUAACCCAAGGCCUUUUUCAACAAGAGAAGAUAGCUGUCCUAUGACCAUGCGAACUCAUAUCUGGGAACAACUAGAAUUAAGCUGUUACAACACCGGCUCAAGGAGAAGAUCUUCUCUAGGAUCAAAAAUACUUCCCACUGACCCCAGCGACUUCAGAGGGGAAAAAUAAUUUUAGUUUUCUACAGUAUCACUAUUGGUGAUAACACAUGUUUUAGAAGACACAAGCGCAGCCAGAAGUUCAAGAACAUACUCACAAAUUCUGUGAGAUCAACGGGUUCUAUAAGAGUCUUGGGAACUUCUAUUUAGUUGACAUCAAACAGGAAGCAAAAACACAGUCCUGUAAAGACAGAAGGUAGAGGCCAGGAUUUAGAAGUCUAGAGAAUUUAAAUUGCUUUGUUUUUUAACUUAAUGACAUUGACUCUUUUUAAAAUUGUAAGCAAUACAUGUUCACUUUCAUAUUGGGAGACAAGACAUCUAUGAUUCCACCAUCCAGAUACAACCAUUAUUAACCAAUGGAAGUCCUAUAGAUUGUUUCAUGAAUAAUUAUACAUAUAAUUAUACAUAUAAAUAUAUAUUUCUCUAUUAUUUUUCAUUUAUAAAUACCACAAAAAAUGUUUUGUGAGCUGCAUUUAUGGAAUAAGAUAUUGUGAACAUCUUUUGUCAAUAAAUGAACUUCAGCUGUGUGGUUCUUCAGCUGUGUGUGUGUGUGAUUCUUCAGCUCCUAGAUGGUUUCCAAUGAUCCUCGCCUGCUGUGCCUUUGGCCCUGGAGAUUGGGCUGCACCUUGACUCACUUCUAACCAGUGGAACAUGGCAAGCGAUGGGAUGUCAGCUCUGAGACUAGGUUGCAAAAAGAUGCUGGCUUCUUUCCUGCUCACCCUCUCCUGGUCUCUGGCUUCUUUACUCUAAGGAAACCACCUACAAUGUUGGUGGAAAGGAGUGCAGUGGAACUAAGGUGAGGAGCUGAGGGUGACCUUCAACCAACAGCCCUAGGGGGACUGGUUCCUGCCAACACCCACUACGCUGAGCUUGAAAGUGGAUCCUCUCCAAGAUAAGCCUUGAGAUGAUUCCAACACCUUGAUUGCAGCCUUAGGAGAGGCUCUGAGUCAGAGGACCCAGUUCAGCUGUGCUCACAGACUCCUGACCCACAGAAACUGUGAAAUAAUAUAUGCUUGCUGUUUUAAACUGCUAGGCAUUGGGGUAAUGCAGCCAUAGACAAUAGUUUUUCAUAGGUAUUUAACAUUCCACUGUAAGGUUUACUCAAUCUUUUAUUGCUGUACAUUUGGUCAUUAUAUUUUAUUUAUUUUGCUAUUAUAAGUAAGGCUGAAAUGAAAGUCAUUGUAGCUAAAUCUUGGUACACACCCUUCCUUCUUUCCUGGUGAUAAGUUCCUUGAAUUGGAAUAGAUGGAUUUCAGAGGAUUUGCAUCCUUAAGGGCUUCUAACAUGCUAUUCCCAGUUGCUUUCUGGUCGAAUUGAAGCUAUUUACACCCCUGCCGGCUUUAGCUUGGAGUGGCUGCUGGCCCACACCAGGGGUUUAUGUAUUCUGAAGCAUAUAUUUGGUUAAUUUCAACCACUCUAUCUUCAGCUGUGUCU